GUGAUGAUAUGCAGAAACAGAGCUAACAGAGCUCCAGCUUGUAUUAUAAAACUUACUGUGUGUGUGUGUGUGUGCGCGCGUGUGUGUGUGAAGCUCUCUGCCUCAGUAGCAUGAAGCUGGAGGAGCAGGGCCUUCCAUCAUCUUCACCCUGUCAGCGCAAAGACAAAGAGCUGCCUCCGAGCAACCAGAGCUGGUCAUAGUAGAAAAAAUGCUGUCCUCAAAUGAGCUGCAAACUGUUGUCCAGGCAGUUUGAUCCACCUGAAUAAAGUGCAGUGAGACAGCAAACCAAACCAGAUGAAGGUGCAACAUUUCUCUGCGGUCCCCCACCCAAUCAAACUCCACCCGAACUAUCCUGGUGUAGAUCCACCCAAAGUAUCCAUGAUGGGGUCUGAUACGGCUGAUUUUAGGUUUACAUUUCUGCUUUUCCUUUUUGUGAUCUUCAUGGGGUUUCAUAUAUUACGUUGCAUCUCGCCAUGAUCCUCAGCAUUUCACCACAGAACACUGAACCCAGGAUAUGAGCUGAGGCCUCAGGAAGUGACUCCAGAAGGAAGAAUAGUUUAUGGGCAAAGAUUACAGAAAGCUCAGCAAACUUUGCCCAGAGAACCGCAGCUGGAGCAAUGCAGCUAAGAACGGACUGACCCUGAUUGGGUGUCUUUGUUAGUUUAAAUGGUCUUUUCUAGAUUGUUUUUCUCACAUCGAGCACUAGCUCUCUGUGUGUCUUACUAUUCAACUUUGCCGUGUUUAUUGAUGUGUAUUCUUGUUUUUGCUCUUGUUAUUUCUUCGCCAACUCACUGCCGUCUGUUCCUCAGCUUGAAAGUGUCUGACUCUGCUUGUUCGGACCAGUGUGAAAGCUUGCUUGAUGGAAAUGCAAAUGCUGUCCUCAAUGUCUACCCUCAUCUUCAUGUACAAACCCGAGAACAGGAACUAUAAUUAAACUAUUAUUCAAAUUAUAAAAAGAGAGAAUAUCGUGCUCACUUGUAUUUUGUCUUGUGUAUGUAUCAGGUUCAGCUACUGUAUAUCCAUCAGCAAAUGUACUGUAUGGCUUGUAAGAAGAGCAAAUGUGGAUGGAUUGUACACAUAUUCCUCUCUUUACUCUUCCCUUCCAAAGAGCAGAAAUUCCUGGCCAAAGAGGAGCCUGUCCUGAGCCAAGGGGACCUGCCCUUUGCACCCUCCUCCUGUUCGUGCUUUGAUUUCCAAUAUGUCCUCCCAUCACCACAGAUGAAGGCAGAGGAAACAUUUCCUCAACUGGCAUUGCUAGCAAGACCCAGGGGCAGCCGAAGUGGAUAGGAGGCAGAAAUUGGAGAAUAAUGUAAUAGAAUAUUUGAUUGGGCUGUGAUGGGUAGGACACUGGGAAGUCUGCCAUAGUAAUGUGUCUGAGCCUGGCCGGAAAUGUGCAUUUAUUUCCUCUCUCCUCCUAUUUCUCAUUUUCAUCCAGUUGCAGGUUGUGAUUUGAUAAUAGGACGCUGCUGCUUGGCAAUGUGGCCUGCAAACCCAGUUCCUUUAGAACUAGAAUUCUGAGCUUCCUGCUGUGAGGCAUCCAUUUAAACACUGGUAGUUAAAAGAGAUGAGAAUCCUUCUAUGUGCCAGUUUUAUGCAAAAUGGGAGAAGUGACCUUAAUGAAUUAUUCCUGAUUAGAAAUACAUAAUUCAUUUACCACAUUGCAAUUGGGUUAAAAGUUAUGCAGCCAUUACACUUUACCAUUGCUGUGUAGAAGCUGGUAAAUACCAGUUGAUAAUUUGUGUGAGGUGAGGGCCAAACUGUAGUUUGGUGUGGUUGGCGUUGCUUCAACUGUUUGUAACCUGUAGUCUGUGAACUUUUUAGGGGGAUAACCAUCUUUUUUUUUUUUUUUUUGGUUUAUGUGCAAAUGUAAUUGUUAACAAAGUGCUCUAUGGUGACAUGUCUUAAGUCUGUCAAUCCUGUAAUUAGCAUGUAGAAUGUCAGAUUAUAAAUCACAGAAUAGCUUCUAUUCA
Melanotaenia boesemani (Boeseman's rainbowfish) is the source of this 1970-nucleotide long non-coding RNA. RefSeq lists it as uncharacterized. The transcript has 5 exons. The record is from RefSeq and is a predicted model, not a curated record. Lineage: Eukaryota; Metazoa; Chordata; Actinopteri; Atheriniformes; Melanotaeniidae.